Molecule: long non-coding RNA, 256 nt
Filed under: Elaeis guineensis (African oil palm)
Lineage: Eukaryota; Viridiplantae; Streptophyta; Magnoliopsida; Arecales; Arecaceae
Description: long non-coding RNA (EGUI_LNC081164)
Source: RNAcentral
AGUUCGAUGCCAAACCAUCACCGACGAACAGGCUCUGGCCCGCUCAUCUACUCCGAUGGCAGUCAGAUUAGCUCGGCAGUUGGAUUUUAGGCCUUAGGUCUAGCCCAAAGUUCAAAAAAAAUUUCGGACUAACUCAAUGAGGGGUGUGGCCUGGCCCAAUCCAGCUCAUUUUCUGUCAUAUUUGCAAUUUCGCUCGAUACUUUGAAACCUCCAGGAUGGAAUUUCUCUGGGUUCCAUACUGGUAUGCUCGCAUGGC